UACGUAGGGGGCAAGCGUUGUCCGGAAUCAUUGGGCGUAAAGCGCGCGUAGGCGGCCCGGUAAGUCCGUUUGUGAAAGUCAAAGGCUCAACCUUUGAACGCCGAUGGAUACUGCCGGGCUAGAGUCCGGAAGAGGCGAAGUGGAAUUCCUGGUGUAGCGGUGGAAUGCGCAGAUAUCAGGAGGAACACCAAUAGCGAAGGCAGCUCGCUGGGACGGUACUGACGCUGAGGCGCGAAAGCGUGGGGAGCGAACAGG
Molecule: ribosomal RNA, 255 nt
Filed under: uncultured bacterium
Lineage: Bacteria
Description: partial 16S ribosomal RNA
Rfam family: Bacterial small subunit ribosomal RNA
Source: RNAcentral